This 613-nucleotide long non-coding RNA is filed under the name Aquilegia coerulea. RNAcentral's name for it is "long non-coding RNA (ACOE_LNC000664)". Lineage: Eukaryota; Viridiplantae; Streptophyta; Magnoliopsida; Ranunculales; Ranunculaceae. The record is from RNAcentral.
UAUAUCUUAUUUUUAUUUGGGCUUGGAUGCUUAAGCCGAAUGGGGUUAUUGUAUUUUGUUAUGUAUCAUACAUAUCUUUCGAAAAAAAUUGUACAAACUUUCUUAAAAAAGUCGUUGUGUAUCAUACAUAUCAUUAGGUUUUACAUGUCCAAUAUUUGAGAAUCAAAGACACACUCCACCUUCUCUUCCAAAAACUCUUUCUCCUUGAAGGGUACGCAAGAAUUCCAAAAUCAUCUAUUGGGCAAUAGAGGCAGUAAAAAUGUCGGUUCUUUUUUUUUCCCUACAAUGGGAAGGAACAAAAACAUAUAAUUAUGAAGAUGCGAAUUAUAUUAUUAAAAAAAAACUGAUGGUCAUCUUUAAACUGUGCACUAAACUAAGUUUGUUGCUAUUAUAGCUUUCGCCCCUUCAGGCCUCUUUAAAGUGGGAGUCCCAUCAGGCCUCUUUGAAAUGGGAGCAUUAUAAUAGCCCUACUCCAUUUGCAGACAUGGGAAAAUUCAAAACAAAUCUGUAAUUGAAGGCUUGCUUACCUUUCCCAUAAAAAUGAGUAGCUCCUCAUGCCUAUAUACUUUGCACAAUAAAUAUUAUCGGAUUUGCACAUUUUUUUCAAUCUAAA